This is a long non-coding RNA of Trachemys scripta elegans, 755 nucleotides long. RefSeq lists it as uncharacterized. The record is from RefSeq and is a predicted model, not a curated record. NCBI's taxonomy places the organism in Eukaryota, Metazoa, Chordata, Testudines, Emydidae. The transcript is spliced from 3 exons.
AUCUAUGUACUUCAUUUUCCCUUUCUUUUUUAGUUUCAAUUGCUGUGCUUCUACAGCCCUUAGCAACACAAGUCUGCUUGUGCUAUGCUGAAAGCUCUCUCGGACACAGAGCGCUUCCUUCUCCGGUGCCACUGUCGCGAACAGAUGAUCAGAGGACUGAAUAGAGGAGAAAGACUUGGAUUAACUGGAGAAGGCCGUUGGGAAGAAGGCCUCAUUUGCCAAACAGAAAAUUAGCAGAAUAUGGAGUAAUGUCUUUGCAUGAGGGGCAGACUGGAAGGAACACAUUUUGGAAAAUGAAGAGGAUAAAGGAGGACAAGGAGGAAGAUCCCUAUUUUGCACCCCCUCCUUGUAUUGGGCCACAGAUCAAGUCAAUGGGACUGAAGAAGCUGCAAAAAGGGCCUAAAGGUAUUAUUCUUUCAUCACAGUUUUAUUUAGUAUCUAUUUGUCCUCUUGCUUUCUGGAGUGCAAUGAUUGACUUCAGCAGCUUCCCAGCAGAGCCACUGCAGUAGUGGAAUUCUGUUGCAGUUUAACUUGCAGAGAGGGAAGAUUAAUUUAUGAUCAAAGUUUAAAUGUUUUUAUUUUGCUACCAUAGUAUUUAACUUUUCAAAAAUGUAAUCCUUUGUGGUCAAAACACUUCAGCCCUAUUAUUAAAAAGGCUUCAUCACCUGGUGGAAUAUGCAUAUGAAAUUAAUUGCUUCCACAUUUUAACAAUAUCCUUGCAACAGAAAAAAAAGUACUGUUUAUAAGAUGGUGUC